Molecule: ribosomal RNA, 833 nt
Filed under: uncultured Lysobacterales bacterium
Lineage: Bacteria; Pseudomonadati; Pseudomonadota; Gammaproteobacteria; Lysobacterales
Description: bacterial SSU rRNA
Rfam family: Bacterial small subunit ribosomal RNA
Source: RNAcentral
GUCGAACGGUAGCAGGUCCUUCGGGAUGCUGACGAGUGGCGGACGGGUGAGGAAUGCAUCGGAAUCUGCCUGUUUGUGGGGGAUAACGCAUGGAAACGUGCGCUAAUACCGCAUACGUCCUUUGGUCGGGAGAUCAUUGGAGAAAGUGGGGGACCUUCGGGCCUCACGCGAACAGAUGAGCCGAUGUCGGAUUAGCUAGUUGGUGGGGUAAAGGCCUACCAAGGCGACGAUCCGUAGCUGGUCUGAGAGGACGAUCAGCCACACUGGAACUGAGACACGGUCCAGACUCCUACGGAAGGCAGCAGUGGGGAAUAUUGGACAAUGGGGGCAAGCCUGAUCCAGCCAUGCCGCGUGUGUGAAGAAGGCCCUUGGGUUGUAAAGCACUUCUGUUGGGGAAGAAAAGUUUUCGGUGAAUAGCUGGAGAUCCUGACGGUACCCAAAGAAUAAGCACCGGCUAACUUCGUGCCAGCAGCCGCGGUAAUACGAAGGGUGCAAGCGUUACUCGGAAUCACUGGGCGUAAAGGGUGCGCAGGCGGCCUGCCAAGUCUGAUGUGAAAGCCCUGGGCUCAACCUGGGAACGGCAUUGGAAACUGGUGGGCUGGAGUACGGUAGAGGGUGGUGGAAUUCCUGGUGUAGCAGUGAAAUGCGUAGAGAUCAGGAGGAACAUCCGUGGCGAAGGCGGCCACCUGGACCAGUACUGACGCUGAGGCACGAAAGCGUGGGGAGCAAACAGGAUUAGAUACCCUGGUAGUCCACGCCCUAAACGAUGCGAACUGGAUGUUGGGGGCAUAUUGGCCUUCAGUGUCGAAGCUAACGCGUUAAGUUCGCCGCCU